This is a long non-coding RNA of Mytilus californianus (California mussel), 127 nucleotides long. RefSeq lists it as uncharacterized. The record is from RefSeq and is a predicted model, not a curated record. NCBI's taxonomy places the organism in Eukaryota, Metazoa, Mollusca, Bivalvia, Mytilida, Mytilidae. The transcript has 3 exons.
CAAAGGUAACAUUGGGAAAAUUAUAUUACAUAUCCCAAAGGUAACAUUGUGAAAAUUAUAUUACACAUCACAAAGGUAACAUUGGGAAAAUUAUAUUACACAUCCCAAAGGUAACAUUGGGAAAAUU